AGCUCAGUUGGGAGAGCACCUGCCUUACAAGCAGGGGGUCACUGGUUCGAGCCCGGUA
Molecule: transfer RNA, 58 nt
Filed under: Vibrio owensii
Lineage: Bacteria; Pseudomonadati; Pseudomonadota; Gammaproteobacteria; Vibrionales; Vibrionaceae
Also listed under: 1 other name
Description: tRNA-Val
Rfam family: tRNA
About the family: Transfer RNA (tRNA) molecules are approximately 80 nucleotides in length. Their secondary structure includes four short double-helical elements and three loops (D, anti-codon, and T loops).
Source: RNAcentral